CAGCGCGUGAGGAGACAGCGGCAGCGCGAGGGGUGGGGCAGAGCCCUCUCAGCCAAUUGCAUGUCUCGGGGGUGCCACCGAAAGGACGCGAUUGGCCGAGCGGGUCAUUCAGAACUCGUUCUGAUGGCAGCAGAGGGCUCGACCGUCACGGUUCGCCUGGUGCGCUCCUUCGAGCACCGCAAUUUCCGGCCCCUGGUGUUCCACGGCGUCCCCCUGGAGCAGACCGUGCGCGAGUUCAUGGCCUUCGUGCGCCAGGAUGUGUCUUCAAGAUCAGGACUUCCUCCUCCUUUCAAAAAUUACAAGUAUGAUACAAUGAAGAUUAUUCACCAAGCACACAAAUCUAAGACUGGUGAGCUUGUAGUGAGUUUGGAAGAUGAUGACAAACUGAUUUUGAAGGAAGACAGCACACUGAAAGCAGCUGGAGUAGGGGCUUCACAGAGGAGGCUCCCUCCUGCUCCUGCUGCUCCCUGAUUGCUCCCCAGCUACUGAAUGGGAUUUCUUUCUCCUGGGUUACUUGGCUCUCCUGAUUCCUAAAAUGAGACAGAAUUAGCAUUCUUCUGUGAGGAAGAUUACAGGAACUACAGAGCUAAUCCUGUUUCGGCCUGGUGAAGAUCCCAAGAGAUUGUUUUGUUUUCCCAUACCUGUUGUAAAUUUUCCUUAUUCUGCUUAAUGAGAUUUUUCUUAAAGAUCAAUAAAUCCUAGAGGAUUUCUUUGCAAACA
Serinus canaria (Common canary) is the source of this 720-nucleotide RNA transcript. It is a transcript of the gene named chromosome 7 C2orf76 homolog, with no coding region annotated. The transcript has 7 exons. NCBI's taxonomy places the organism in Eukaryota, Metazoa, Chordata, Aves, Passeriformes, Fringillidae. The record is from RefSeq and is a predicted model, not a curated record.